RNAcentral lists this ribosomal RNA (213 nucleotides) under uncultured bacterium. Its description in RNAcentral is "partial 16S ribosomal RNA". It matches the Rfam family "Bacterial small subunit ribosomal RNA", at positions 122 to 334 of the family's 1533-position model. The record is from RNAcentral.
CAACCUGCCCUGAAGCGGGGGACAACAAGCCGAAAGGUUUGCUAAUACCGCAUGUGUAUCGGAAUGGCAUCAUUCAGGAUACAAAGCCGCAAGGCGCUUCAGGAUGGGCCCGCGGCCUAUCAGCUAGUUGGUGAGGUAACGGCUCACCAAGGCUUCGACGGGUAGCUGGUCUGAGAGGACGAUCAGCCGGAUUGGGACUGAGAUACGGCCCAG